This 82-nucleotide microRNA precursor is filed under the name Pteropus vampyrus (large flying fox). Its description in RNAcentral is "miRNA (ENSPVAG00000027627.1)". Lineage: Eukaryota; Metazoa; Chordata; Mammalia; Chiroptera; Pteropodidae. The record is from RNAcentral.
UAGGGUGACCACUGUUCUGGUUUGCCUGGGACUGAGGAAUUUUCCAAGAGAAGGAACUUUCAGCUUUAAAACCAGGACAGUC